Long non-coding RNA from Aquila chrysaetos chrysaetos, 266 nucleotides. RefSeq lists it as uncharacterized. NCBI's taxonomy places the organism in Eukaryota, Metazoa, Chordata, Aves, Accipitriformes, Accipitridae. The transcript has 2 exons. The record is from RefSeq and is a predicted model, not a curated record.
UUGCACCUCCUCCUAAAACCUGUAUCUUGUCCACCUUCAUGUCCUUCCUGCCUGCCCUCUCUGGGACAGUGGCACUGUGAUUCUGGCGAUGCAGAGCAGACAUCUGGAAAUUUUGAGAUCGGUUGGGCAUGGCGAUCUGGGUUAAAGGAGGCAUCGCAGUUAUGAGGGUCACUGAUUCAUGAAGACCUCUUCAGACAAGACCAACGUCAUUGGGUUGUAGGUCUGUGCUACCUUCUGGAUCCCACCCUAUGGAGGGGCAAGCAAGG